Regulatory RNA element from Auraticoccus monumenti, 60 nucleotides. It matches the Rfam family "Actino-pnp RNA". The record is from Rfam. Lineage: Bacteria; Bacillati; Actinomycetota; Actinomycetes; Propionibacteriales; Propionibacteriaceae.
CUCGGUCCUCGGUAGUGGCCUUCGGAGCACGAGCUCCGCGGGCCUCGAUCGAAGACCGGG